Molecule: ribosomal RNA, 445 nt
Filed under: uncultured bacterium
Lineage: Bacteria
Description: partial 16S ribosomal RNA
Rfam family: Bacterial small subunit ribosomal RNA
Source: RNAcentral
GUGAGGAAUAUUGCGCAAUGGAGGCAACUCUGACGCAGCCAUGCCGCGUGCAGGAAGAAGGCGCUACGCGUUGUAAACUGCUUUUAACCGGGAAGAAACCCCAGGACGUGUCCUGGGUUGACGGUACCGGAGGAAUAAGCACCGGCUAACUUCGUGCCAGCAGCCGCGGUAAUACGAAGGGUGCAAGCGUUAUCCGGAUUCAUUGGGUUUAAAGGGUGCGUAGGCGGAGCGUUAAGUCAGUGGUGAAAUCCUGCAGCUUAACUGUAGACUUGCCAUUGAUACUGGCGCUCUUGAGUGCGCUUGAAGUGGGCGGAAUGUGCCGUGUAGCGGUGAAAUGCUUAGAUAUGGCACAGAACACCAAUUGCGAAGGCAGCUCACUAAGCAAAUAUUGACGCUGAGGCACGAAAGCGUGGGGAUCAAACAGGAUUAGAUACCCCAGUAGUCC